Long non-coding RNA from Schistocerca cancellata (South American locust), 471 nucleotides. RefSeq lists it as uncharacterized. Lineage: Eukaryota; Metazoa; Arthropoda; Insecta; Orthoptera; Acrididae. The record is from RefSeq and is a predicted model, not a curated record. The transcript is spliced from 3 exons.
UCGUGUGUUGUGUGAUUUAUUACUGACAAAGGCCUUAAUGGCCGAAAGCUUUAUUUGUGACAGUCUUUUUGUUGUGCCUAUCUGCAACUCAGCAUAUCUGCUAUAUGGUGAGUAGCAACUUUCCUUUUCAUAAUAUUGUUGAUUUUGAUGUAUCUUGUCAGGCUGGUGGGCUUGCAGUAUUUUUCAUUCUUCGACGUAUGCACAUUUUCUAAAGAUGACUACUACAUAUGCCAUGCAGGAUCAUGCCAGGCUACAGAACACUGACAAUUUUUGGAACCACAUCAUAUACUGUUCUCAUGAUAAUACCGGCUGUACUACUGCAAAUAAUGACUUUCUGAUGCACCUUUCACCCAUGCAACUCAACAGUUACCUAUAUUACCAUCAUCCUAUAUGAAGAUUGUUGCAGACAGCAACUGAGACUAGUUACCAUCUUUUAAUUGUGAUAGGAAAAUUGCGAUCUAGGGAUUAAAA